Molecule: non-coding RNA, 85 nt
Organism: Lactococcus lactis
Lineage: Bacteria; Bacillati; Bacillota; Bacilli; Lactobacillales; Streptococcaceae
Source: Rfam
UAUAAAAUACGCUCCUUUGCGUGUUUGAAAUAGGCAUAGAGAAAGUCAUUUUGCCGUGAAUUUUCUCUAUGCUUUUAUUAUAUCA